This 915-nucleotide long non-coding RNA is filed under the name Vigna radiata. RNAcentral's name for it is "long non-coding RNA (VRAD_LNC003080)". Lineage: Eukaryota; Viridiplantae; Streptophyta; Magnoliopsida; Fabales; Fabaceae. The record is from RNAcentral.
AUGAGUCGAUAUUUUCUUGACUUCACUUAGUUUAUUGUGCUAGAAUUAAUCAGGGAAUUGUGCUUAAUUGUCCGGUAUUUUCCCGUUUUCGCUAAUAGUGCUUAAUUUGGCCAGAAAUUCUAAUUUUAAUUAAUUUGAAUAUUUUGAGCUAAUUAUUUGCAUUAUUAUUUUCAGGUAAAAAUUUGAAAAUUCAAUUUGGGAUAUUUGGAGUGCUAUCAAAUAAGUCAAGACUCUUCACAUGGACAUUUCAAAUUUAAUUACUUUGAAACUUAGUAGUCUAGAUAGUUUUAAUUAANUUUGUAAACAANGGGCCAAUUUUUGGUAAAAUAGUUUAGGCCCAAAAUGUUAGAAUAGAUGACACAUGGCACCCUAGGGUUGGGUGGACCCCACCCUAAUUUUUGGACACUUGGUCCUAGGGAAAGAAAGGGUGCAGCCGUCACUUGGUAAGGAGAGCAUUCUUGGCUGAAACAGGAUUUUUGAAGGACUCUCUCUCGGCAGAUUUUGGUUUUUGGAGAGCACCAGCGUCAAUUACUAUUAUUUCCUUUGGCACUUAGCUUUGGAACGUCUUUUCUUAGGAGCUCUUGAUUGAAAACAUGUUUACACUUUUUGAUUGUGGAUGAUUGAGAAAUCGGACAUGAUUCUUCCUUUUCUUUGGGAAUUAAACGGUGACAUUUGCUAAAAAAAACGCUGAUUUAUAUUUUCCAUUUCACUGUGCAUUUAUUUUGGCAGNAGCCGCAACCUCUAGGAGCUUUUCCUGCAGCGUUCUUUUCUUUUUUUUUUAACAUUGCUGUUACUUUUUUUUCUUUUCAUUUUUCCAGCCGCUGCCAUGUCUUGUUAGAGGAGAAAUCAUUUUGCUGUCUCACGGAGGAGAGGUGCACGCUGUUAUGGUCCUUGAGGAUUAAUUUUUAGAAGCAC